Molecule: long non-coding RNA, 571 nt
Filed under: Oryza brachyantha (malo sina)
Lineage: Eukaryota; Viridiplantae; Streptophyta; Magnoliopsida; Poales; Poaceae
Description: long non-coding RNA (OBRA_LNC000669)
Source: RNAcentral
AAAGCCCUCGACGUUGGAGAGGACCGGAGGACGAGUCCUCGGGCGGCGGCGGCGAUGAGGGCGGUGAGAGGCGAAGUGGCCUCGUCGAAGCCGGUGUCCCUGACCAAGGCCGCGCGCGUUUUCAGCCUCUUCGCCGCCUCCGGCGAGUCCGGGCUUCCCUCCGACGACAGCGCGUUGUUGCUCUGCGCGGCCGAGGCCGCUCUGGAGCUCCAUGCUUUCCGCCGCCACGGUGGGGCGAGCGGGCAGAGCGAAGAGGAGCGGCCUAGGAAGAGGAAGAACGAGGCGUGCAGCGCAGCCAGUCGCAACUCGCAACGUGGGAUUGGAACUGUAGGUCUGUAGCCAAGCUGAAACAGCCGCGAGCUCCCCUCUGUAGCAGACGAGCAGUGGAUCUGUUUGUUUCCCUUUGCUAUGUUCUUUUAUUUGCUCAAAAGAGUUUAGCUCUAGUGUGUUCUUGCUUCUGUAACGCUGUGUGGACUGAAAGAUUCAGGUUUUGUUCAAUGAAAUCGCUGAAAUUGCACCUCGUUUUGUUCUUGGUUCUGUAACGUACUAACGUUGCGUCGGCUCAAAUAUU